GAAAACAUAGCUUACUGCCCCUGUAUGCUAGGCUACAUGUUUCAACGUAUGUGUGUGUGUCUUUGCAGUGGAUGUGUGCCGCAAGCGGUGGAAGGGGCUGCGGGACGUUUACUUGAGGGAGAAAAGGAGGGAGAAAGAAGGCGGGAGAAGCGGGUCGGCGGCCUCCCAGCAGAGGAAGUGGCGUUUCACUGCGGUGAUGUCCUUCCUCGACCCCUUUAUUGCCCCGAGGGACACAUCAAGCAACAUGUCUCGGGAGGUCGAGGAAGACUUCACCGCAGAAAAUGCUGCUUCUUCUGCUGGGAUGCCUGAAGACCUGGAGGAAGCAGGCCCCUCAGGAGUGGAGUUUGACGGUUGGUUGAUGAGUGAAAAACAUAGCAAAUAAAUUUGAGUCCCCUCAUGGUUUAAACACACCAUUGUAGUCUAAUUUAAGAUGGAUAGAUCAAGUCAUGCACAUGUAAUGUGUGAACAUUUUUUAUUUGAAUAACAAUGUUGCCUGAUUGCAGAGUUUUGAUUUCAGACAUUUUUGUCACAACUUUAACUAAAGAUAAGCCUGCUCCCUCUCCUGCUUCAGCUCCCUCUCCUGCAGCAGCUCCCUCUCCUGCCCCAGCUCCAUCUCCUGCUUCAGCUCCCUCUCCUGCCCCGUCAGCUUCUCCUGCUCCCUCAACUGCGGCAAGUGAUGCCUCGGGCCCCACUGCAGCCAGGCCAAGAGGUAUAGAAAUUAAAUAUUAACCAUAUAUUCAAUGAAAUUGCUCAAGGUCACAUAGAAAUUAUAAAACAAAUAGUAACCGAUUAGUUUUUUUUAUGACAGCGAGGAAGAGGAGGACGCCUCCCUCCUCACGACUGGAGGAGAUUGAGGAGCUCCUCUGUCAGGCCCUGAG
Molecule: non-coding RNA, 878 nt
Organism: Xyrichtys novacula (pearly razorfish)
Lineage: Eukaryota; Metazoa; Chordata; Actinopteri; Labriformes; Labridae
Source: the annotation of a GenBank genome assembly